AUUGAACGCUGGCGGCAGGCCUAACACAUGCAAGUCGAGCGGAUGAAGGGAGCUUGCUCCUGGAUUCAGCGGCGGACGGGUGAGUAAUGCCUAGGAAUCUGCCUUGUAUUGGGGGAUAACGUCCGGAAACGGGCGCUAAUACCACAUACGUCCUGAGGUAGAAAGGGGGGGAUCUUCGGACCUCACGCUAUCAGAUGAGCCUAGGUCGGAUUAGCUAGUUGGUUGGGUAAAGGCCUACCAAGGCGACGAUCCGUAACUGGUCUGAGAGGAUGAUCAGUCACACUGGAACUGAGACACGGUCCAGACUCCUACGGGAGGCAGCAGUGGGGAAUCUUGGACAAUGGGCGAAAGCCUGAUCCAGCAAUGCCGCGUGUGUGAAGAAGGUCUUCGGAUUGUAAAGCACUUUAAGUUGGGAGGAAGGGCAGUAAGUUAAUCCCUUGCUGUUUUGACGUUACCAAAAGAAUAAGCACCGGCUAACUUCGUG
This 484-nucleotide ribosomal RNA is filed under the name uncultured bacterium. RNAcentral's name for it is "partial 16S ribosomal RNA". It matches the Rfam family "Bacterial small subunit ribosomal RNA", at positions 30 to 507 of the family's 1533-position model. The record is from RNAcentral.